GAUGACACCUCCUAGGGAGACGGAGAGAGGUGGUAACCACACAUCACAGACACAGAGAGAGAUGAUGACACCUCCUAUGGAGACAGAGAGAGGUGGUAACCACACAGAGACACAGAGAGAGAGAGAUGACACCUCCUAGGGAGACAGAGAGAGGUGGUAACCAUACAGAGAGAGAUGACACCUCCUAUGGAGACAGAGAGGUGGUAACCACACAGAGACACAGAGAGAGAGAGAUGACACCUCCUAGGGAGACAGAGAGAGGUGGUAACCAUACAGAGAGAGAUGACACCUCCUAUGGAGACAGAGAGGUGGUAACCACACAGAGACACAGAGAGAUGACAUCUCCUAUGGAGACAGAGAGAGGUGGUAACCACUCAGAGAGAGAGAUGAUGACACCUCCUAGGGAGACAGAGAGAGGUGGUAACCACACAGAGAGAGAGAUGAUGACACCUCCUAGGGAGACAGAGAGAGGUGGUAACCACACAGAGAGAGAGAUGAUGACACCUCCUAGGGAGACAGAGAGGUGAUGACACCUCCUAGGGAGACAGAGAGAGGUGGUAACCACACAUCACAGACACAGAGAGAGAGAUGAUGACACCUCCUAGGGAGAGAGAGGUGGUAACCAUACAGAGAGAGAUGACACCUCCUAGGGAGACAGAGAGAGGUGGUAACCACACAUCACAGACACAGAGAGAGAUGAUGACACCUCCUAGGGAGAGAGAGGUGGUAACCAGACAUCAGAGACACAGAGAGAGAGAGAGAGAGAGAGAGAGAGAGAGAGAGAUGAUAACCACACAGAGACACAGAGAGAGAGAUGACACCUCCAAGGGAGACAGAGAGAGGUGGUAAACACACAUCAGAGACAGACGGAGGGCUCUGGAUGGAUAGGCAAAGGAUGGC
Long non-coding RNA from Oncorhynchus tshawytscha (Chinook salmon), 900 nucleotides. NCBI's taxonomy places the organism in Eukaryota, Metazoa, Chordata, Actinopteri, Salmoniformes, Salmonidae. The record is from Ensembl.